AGCCCAAUAGAUCGGGAUAACACCUGGAAACAGAUGCUAAUACCGGAUAACAACAGAUGAUGCCUAUCAACUGUUUAAAAGAUGGUUCUGCUAUCACUCUUGGAUGGACCUGCGGUGCAUUAGCUAGUUGGUAGGGUAACGGCCUACCAAGGCGAUGAUGCAUAGCCGAGUUGAGAGACUGAUCGGCCACAUUGGGACUGAGACACGGCCCAAACUCCUACGGGAGGCAGCAGCC
Molecule: ribosomal RNA, 235 nt
Filed under: uncultured Lactobacillus sp.
Lineage: Bacteria; Bacillati; Bacillota; Bacilli; Lactobacillales; Lactobacillaceae
Description: partial 16S ribosomal RNA
Rfam family: Bacterial small subunit ribosomal RNA
Source: RNAcentral